UUGUUCGCAAUGGGCGCAAGCCUGACGACGCAACGCCGCGUGGAGGAUGAAGAUCUUCGGGUCGUAAACUCCUUUCGAUCGAGACGAAUUCCUCCGGGGUGAACAAUCCUGGAGGUUGACGGUACCGAGAGAAGAAGCACCGGCUAACUCCGUGCCAGCAGCCGCGGUAAUACGGGGGGGGCAAGCGUUGUUCGGAAUUACUGGGCGUAAAGGGCUCGUAGGUGGCCAACUAAGUCGGACGUGAAAUCCCUCGGCUUAACCGGGGAACUGCGUCCGAUACUGGUUGGCUUGAGUUUGGGAGAGGGAUGCGGAAUUCCAGGUGUAGCGGUGAAAUGCGUAGAUAUCUGGAGGAACACCGGUGGCGAAGGCGGCAUCCUGGACCAAUACUGACGCUGAGGAGCGAAAGCCAGGGGAGCAAACGGG
Molecule: ribosomal RNA, 423 nt
Filed under: uncultured bacterium
Lineage: Bacteria
Description: bacterial SSU rRNA
Rfam family: Bacterial small subunit ribosomal RNA
Source: RNAcentral